This is a long non-coding RNA of Mercurialis annua (annual mercury), 1380 nucleotides long. RefSeq lists it as uncharacterized. The record is from RefSeq and is a predicted model, not a curated record. The transcript has 2 exons. Lineage: Eukaryota; Viridiplantae; Streptophyta; Magnoliopsida; Malpighiales; Euphorbiaceae.
UUAUUCUUUUCUUUUCUUUGUCUUAUGUUUUGAUUAAUUCAAAACACAACGUUGUGAUUUUAAUUAGUUUUCUGUUCUUGCCAAUCAUGUGAAAGAAAAGAAUACAAUAAUUGGUUUGUUUUACAAAUAAUCAAAAUUGAGUAAUUCUAUGUGGUAAAAUCAAGUAGAAUAAUUGACUGCGAUUAAGCAAAUUAUGACUAUGUUUUGGUUCUUGAGAUAAUUAUGGUCAAUUCCUUAAUUUAAGCUUUCUUGAAUUUUUGUUGUUAGUCUGCUUAAAUAUAUUAUGCUUGUAUUACUUGCCUUAUAUGCAAAACUCUCAAGAAAAAGACUGUAUUUUAGUACAAGUUAAGAGCUAUGUAGAACGGACAAUACGGGAAAAUGGGGAAUUUGGACACGGAUAUGACGAGAUGAGGUUAUUUUAAGGUUUCCUAUGGUCACAAUGAAGUUUCGUGUCUGAAACACCAAGUUUCUGACAAGUUUCUCAAACGAAAAAUGUUGAUUGAAUGAAGUGUUGGUGCUAUUUAGGUUAAGAGGGAAAUGGUUGAAUUUGAAAGAAUGAAAAAUAAUUGCAGCAAUUCACAUUUCCAUGAUGAACAAAAUCCUACCAAAGAGAAAUCCACCGCAAACGACGUGUUUGUUUAUCACUGUAUGUCUUCCUCAAGAGCUUGUCUAUAUUAUGAAAUCCAUAAACAUAUUUCCUGCUGCUAUUGCAUUUUUCUCUUGCUACUUAUGAUAAAUUUAUCAUACUUUUUGAAAUUCUUUUAAGACAUAAUCAGUAAGUUCACAUAGAAAGUUCUUGUACUUGUCCAAAUACCAACAGCUUGCCUGUUUUUUGUGAUAAUAUCGAUGACCUUAUGACGCAGCUGAGAUAAUUGGCAUCAGAAUCAAAUAUAGUGGGUUGGAGAUCCGUCUCACAAAGCUCAGAAAAUGCCUAGAGAACGAGGUUUUUGCGACUUACCUAGUCGUGCAGUAGGCAAUGUUUUGGAUGAAUUCUUUUAUGUUUUGGUUAUGGCCCAUGUGUUAGCUGCAUGUCCCAUGAGUUAUCUAUACAUUCUAGUUUUGCAGCUGGAACACAAAAUAAGAGGACCUGCUUUACUCUACUCAACCUUUCCAACAGUCGAUACCCUUAGCUGAGAUGGUAGACUUCUUAUUCGACAUAUGGCUUGAGGAAAGCCUCUACGACUACAUGUUUUGAAAAUAACUGCAGUUUACUGCAUGAUUUUUGUUGUUGCAGAUUGAUGGGAUUAAGCAAAUUUGUAAGUUUUGUUUAUAUAUAGCUCAAAUUCAUUGAAUGGUGCAUAACCUAUUGGUUCAAUUUGUUUUUAUAAUGUCAUAUAUAAACGGAAUUGAACUUACCGGUUCAAUUCCUUUAUUAGACUU